CCUCGUGGAAGGGUAGUGUUUAUUAGAUACAGAACCAACCCACCUUCGGGUGGUCCUCAGGUGAUUCAUAGUAACCGAACGGAUCGCAUUAUGGCCUUUUGGUCGGCGAUGGAUCAUUCAAGUUUCUGACCUAUCAGCUUUCGACGGUACUGUAUUGGACUACCGUGGCAGUGACGGGUAACGGGGAAUUAGGGUUCGAUUCCGGAGAGGGAGCCUGAGAAACGGCUACCACAUCUAAGGAAGGCAGCAGGCGCGCAAAUUACCCAAUCCUGACUCAGGGAGGUAGUGACAAGAAAUAACAACACUGGAAAUUAUAUUUCUAGUGAUUGGAAUGAUGGGAAUCCAAACCCCUUUCAGAGUAACAAUUGGAGGGCAAGUCUGGUGCCAGCAGCCGCGGUAAUUCCAGCUCCAAUAGCGUAUAUUAAAGUUGUUGCAGUUAAAAAGCUCGUAGUUGGAUAUCUGCUGGAAGCAGCCAGUCCGCCCUUUGUGGGUGUGCACUUGGUGAAUUCUGGCAUCCUCCUGAUUGGUGUUAUCAUCACUUCAUUGUGUUGAUGGCAGCUGUCAGGACCGUUACUUUGAGAAAAUUAGAGUGUUUCAAGCAGGCUUGUUGCCUUGAAUACUGCAGCAUGGAAUAACAAGAUAGGAUUUCGGUUCUAUUUUGUUGGUUUCUAGGACUGAAGUAAUGAUUAAUAGGGACAGUUGGGGGCAUUCGUAUUUAACUGUCAGAGGUGAAAUUCUUAGAUUUGUUAAAGACGAACUACUG
Molecule: ribosomal RNA, 763 nt
Filed under: Sarcocystis neurona
Lineage: Eukaryota; Apicomplexa; Conoidasida; Eucoccidiorida; Sarcocystidae
Description: SSU rRNA
Rfam family: Eukaryotic small subunit ribosomal RNA
Source: RNAcentral